UUGAUAGGUGCUUGAAGAUUCCUGUG
Molecule: non-coding RNA, 26 nt
Filed under: Rattus norvegicus (Norway rat)
Lineage: Eukaryota; Metazoa; Chordata; Mammalia; Rodentia; Muridae
Source: RNAcentral